GGCCUAUUCGUCUAGUGGUUAGGACGUUGUCUUUUCAAGUCAUUAAGGAGAGUUCGAUUCUCUCAUAGGCUACCA
Molecule: transfer RNA, 75 nt
Filed under: Parcubacteria group bacterium ADurb.Bin216
Lineage: Bacteria
Description: tRNA-Glu
Rfam family: tRNA
About the family: Transfer RNA (tRNA) molecules are approximately 80 nucleotides in length. Their secondary structure includes four short double-helical elements and three loops (D, anti-codon, and T loops). Further hydrogen bonds mediate the characteristic L-shaped molecular structure. tRNAs have two regions of fundamental functional importance: the anti-codon, which is responsible for specific mRNA codon recognition, and the 3' end, to which the tRNAs corresponding amino acid is attached (by aminoacyl-tRNA synthetases). tRNAs cope with the degeneracy of the genetic code in two manners: having more than one tRNA (with a specific anti-codon) for a particular amino acid; and 'wobble' base-pairing, i.e. permitting non-standard base-pairing at the 3rd anti-codon position.
Source: RNAcentral